UCUAGAAUACUCCAUGACAACAGGAAUUCCUGUGCUCUGAAAACACUCGAUGUUGCAGCUUCCCAAGGUUCAUUUUUCUUGCUAUCGUUGGAUAUCAGAUUCCUGCAUGAAAGAAGAAGUAACUGGAUAGUUGUAAAGCCACAGGAAGCAGUGGGUGCAAAAAGUCAGUACAAUUAGCAGCCAGAAGAGAGGGAGCUGCUUUGUUUUAAAGAACCCAGGAGGUUCAAUACUCCUGCUCCUCAAGUCAACAGCAGCAGAUGGCAACAAAGAACUGGUGUGAAUGAAGUAGUGUGGAAUGGCAGAGCAACUGGAGGAAUUGCUAUCAGAUUGAAAAUGGCAUCAGCUCUAGGUUUCCCUGUUCAGAACAGUGCAUAGCGAAAGCUCUGGGCUUGAACGCUCUUUCAGGAACACAUGAUGCAAAGUGGCAAGGUGUCAGUGAACCCAGGUCCUGUCCUUUGGAAGAAAAAUACAGAAAGCGCGAGGACAUGGAGAGGUGCUCAAGCAAGCGGACAAAUGUCACGAUGGAGACCAGAAAAAAACAAAACAGGCACAAUAUGUCAUCGUGAAGGAAGAGAGGAUGCGAGGUUGUGUUUCAUUGUAAUUGUGCAGCUGUUGUUGUCCCGUUCACAAUGGCCAGUAAUGAGACGUGCUGACCGCAGGUGAAGCUGGUCAAGGGUGUUGCUGCCUCCCCCCAGAAACAACCCUGGAGGCAGAGGGAGGUUUGGGUUACAUCACAGGAACCUGCAGCCUGUUAGAUCUCAUUCAGAGAUGCCUGUUUAUUGUAAAGCCCUCCAGGUUGCAGUGUCGGAUGAAAUGACCUUGAUUGGGAAGAAGUAGGGAGCUGCGUCAGCAUGCGUAGGCUGCACAGGAACAGUGUUUCCUGAGUCCUAGUGUUGCAGGACAGAAGCAUCAAGUCCCACAAGUUGGGGGGACAGUGCGUUUCUGAAGUGGAUCCCCCUCUACUACAAGAUUUGGGGGCCCCAGGAAUAAGUCAUGCGCCUCUAAAGAAACCCGCGGGGGAGUAUAUACUGUAUCUAUACUUAACGGCUCUUCUUCCAUUAAACUUCCAUGAAGCUUCUUGUCUUGGGUUGUGAGGGAGAUGCAAGCAGCUGUUCCAAGCGAUGGCUGAGCUCUGUGAUCGCGGGUUUGAGCAAAGGCCAUGUUACUAGCUGACUGUAACUGUGACUGUGACUUGCCCUGUUGCUGGGGUUAGGGUGGGAUUAGAUGGCCAGGACUCCCUUCGCCAUAGGCAUCACACAGAAACCCCCACGACUUCAUUAUAAUACAUACAUAAUGUCUCACACAUACUUAAAUAAUUUCUAUUCACCAAAAUGCAACAUCAGGAUGACAAACAGAGAAUACUGACACUAUAAUGUUUACAACACGUGCGCUUGAUUUUUCCCAACGACUAUCUUUUCCCCAAAUAAAACAGGAACAGCUGGUUGUAGAUGCAGACAGCAUGUCCCAUCGAAAGACUGCCUUACAAAAUGAUUUUUAUUAGUGAGGAAAACUAUUCAUAGGGUGGUGAUGACGUCAAUCAUCAGUGACAAAUUUGACCAGGGCUUUUACACUCAAGACAGCUGCUAUGCUGUCUCUGUCCAUGUGGUUGUUGUGAUGCAGCCUAAUUUCUGUUGCCAGAAAAUAGGAGGCUUGAAAGACUAUCACAAGUCCAUUUAGCAAUAACCCUGGGACUGGUGGGUUACUUUUCAACUAGUUGUUUAAACAGUUAUAUAAAAAGCCAUUUAACACGAUGAUAACUGAACUCACCUGCUGCUUCCUCCUGUACAUCCUGUCUUGCCCCUUAACACUUAUCUUAGGACAAGCGAUGAAAACCCUGUUCAUUCCGGCACAAGAAGCCAGGCUUGAGGAGAAACACUCCACAGCCAGUCUGAAGUUUUAUAAAGCUGUAUUUUAAGGGUUUAUUAACAUGUAGAACAAAAUCCAUUCUCUGACUAUACACGUUCUAUUUUUUUCUGUUAUACUUUUCAUUCCCAAAUGCUUUGCGCCAUGCCAAGAGCACUCUUAUGCUUUGGGGGGUCUAGAGAAUUUCAAACUUUCCUGUACAGCAACGCUCUUCAGCUUGGCUGUUAUCUAUUUACAUAACUCUUUUCAAUAACUCUGCAACACAGGCAACGCAGGGUGAGCUAAGAAGUCCAUUAUGUAACAGUAGUUAGAACACCAAAAGCACUAAGUGUACUGUUCUAUAAUUUCUUCAGAUCUUCUGAAAAUGCUGGGCUCUAGUGGAGGCCUGAAACAGCCAAGGAGAAAACAGUGUUAUUGAUUGUGCUCUACAGACCUGUCAGAAAGAAGUUAUUGUGUUGAGACAAUGUGUUUUCUUUACUCUGGCACAAAUUGAAAAGGUAGUUAAAACAUGUCAUAGAUAUUCUUUACAGUUUCUACGCUACAUUAAACAUCUCGUUGUUAUUUCCACUGUCGGAGCUCUCCGUUCUGAACAGAUGAUACCGUGGUGAGAGAGGAAACUGAACUGCAUUGUCUCACUUCACUCCAGUUCAGCCAUGAGAAAUACAGAUCAUAACAAGGUGUCGCUCUACUCAGGACUGAUUGACUUUGAUAACAUAUGGAUAGAGAUGAGAGAUGAUCAAUUUUCUCCACUGUGGAUCCUGAUUCACUAAAGAUCUGCAUUUGUGUCUGUGUGUAAAUAUGCAGGCAAUACUAGUCGGAGUCUGUGUACGGGCUACUGAAAUUCCUGCCUUUGAGGCACAGAGCCACUGUUCAUCUAUCGCUUUCACCAGCAGAAUGAGUAAUCCCACAGAACUUGAUAUCAUCAACCUUCCUGUGGCGGGCUUGUAAUGGAGUCACUCCUAGGGCAAUGCAGGUGUUAGAUUUACAGUAUAUCAUUGGUGUCAGCCCUAGAGAAGCUCAAGGGCAGGGGUCACAAGAAUGACAUUCCACAUGUGGAAUGCUUGCAAUUAUUGUUCAAGGACAAGGAAUGACAAAGAGAGGGAACACACAGAAACAGGUCCCUGAACGUGGAUGUUCUCAGAAGGUGGCCUGUGGCAGCUGAUUAGAGACAAGCUUGGAACUCUAUCUGAAAAGAGCUACCUGUUUAUACAAAUUCAGUGGCCUUUGGAAUACCACGAGUGGAGACCCAUUGGCAGAAUAUCACAGCUCAGCGCUGGGGACCUGUGACAGAGAGGACUCUACACUGACAACACACUGGAGAAGACUGUAACAGCAGCUAUCAUCAAAGAGGAGCAUUGAGACACUGACAUUGUACAAUUUCAAGUGCUAUAAAAUAUAAUGAAUUGUAUUAUAGAAUAAGUGAAACGAUACAGUACUGUACAUGUCAGUAGUCCUAUACUGUACACUCACCACACAAUAAAACACUCAGUUCA
Molecule: long non-coding RNA, 3356 nt
Organism: Lepisosteus oculatus (spotted gar)
Lineage: Eukaryota; Metazoa; Chordata; Actinopteri; Semionotiformes; Lepisosteidae
Source: RefSeq, a predicted model, not a curated record